GACAGAGGUGCCGAGCGUUAGGCGGAAUCACUGGGCUUAAAGCGUGUGUAGGCGGGCGGGCAAGUACCUUGUGAAAUCCCACGGCUCAACCGUGGAACGGCUGGGUAUACUGCCUGUCUUGAGCCAGCUAGGGGCGAGCGGAACAGACGGUGGAGCGGUGAAAUGCGUAGAUAUCGUCUGGAACGCCGAAGGUGAAAACAGCUCGCUGGGGCUGCGCUGACGCUGAGACGCGAAAGCCAGGGGAGCAAACGGG
RNAcentral lists this ribosomal RNA (253 nucleotides) under uncultured bacterium. RNAcentral describes it as "partial 16S ribosomal RNA". It matches the Rfam family "Bacterial small subunit ribosomal RNA", at positions 524 to 776 of the family's 1533-position model. The record is from RNAcentral.